AGAACGAACGCUGGCGGCAGGCUUAACACAUGCAAGUCGAGCGCCCCGCAAGGGGAGCGGCAGACGGGUGAGUAACGCGUGGGAACAUACCCUCCGGUUCGGAAUAGCUCAGGGAAACUUGGAUUAAUACCGGAUACGGCCUAGCGGCGAAAGAUUCAUCGCCGGAGGAUUGGCCCGCGUUCGAUUAGCUAGUUGGUGAGGUAACGGCUCACCAAGGCGACGAUCGAUAGCUGGUCUGAGAGGAUGAUCAGCCACAUUGGGACUGAGACACGGCCCAAACUCCUACGGGAGGCAGCAGUGGGGAAUAUUGGACAAUGGGCGCAAGCCUGAUCCAGCCAUGCCGCGUGAGUGAUGACGGCCUUAGGGUUGUAAAGCUCUUUCGCUAGGGACGAUAAUGACGGUACCUAGACAAGAACGCCCCGGCUAACUUCGCGCCAGCAGCCGC
Molecule: ribosomal RNA, 445 nt
Filed under: uncultured bacterium
Lineage: Bacteria
Description: SSU rRNA
Rfam family: Bacterial small subunit ribosomal RNA
Source: RNAcentral